This 229-nucleotide ribosomal RNA is filed under the name uncultured bacterium. RNAcentral's name for it is "partial 16S ribosomal RNA". It matches the Rfam family "Bacterial small subunit ribosomal RNA", at positions 568 to 796 of the family's 1533-position model. The record is from RNAcentral.
UGCGUAGGCGGAUCAAUAAGUCAGUGGUGAAAUCUCUCGGCUCAACCGGGAAACUGCCAUUGAUACUGUUGAUCUUGAGUUCGGUUGAGAUAGGCGGAAUGUGUAAUGUAGCGGUGAAAUGCUUAGAUAUUACACAGAACACCAAUUGCGUAGGCAGCUUACUAGACCGACACUGACGCUGAGGCACGAAAGCGUGGGGAGCGAACAGGAUUAGAUACCCUGGUAGUCC